RNAcentral lists this ribosomal RNA (316 nucleotides) under uncultured eukaryote. Its description in RNAcentral is "partial 18S ribosomal RNA". It matches the Rfam family "Eukaryotic small subunit ribosomal RNA", at positions 1470 to 1796 of the family's 1831-position model. The record is from RNAcentral.
CCCUUAGAUGUUCUGGGCCGCACGCGCGCUACACUGACGAAUGCAACGAGCUUAUAACCUUGGCCGAAAGGUCUGGGUAAUCUCCAAAUUUCGUCGUGAUGGGGAUAGAUUAUUGGAAUUAUUGAUCUUGAACGAGGAAUGCCUAGUAAUCGUAGGUCAUCAGCCUGCGAUGAUUACGUCCCUGCCCUUUGUACACACCGCCCGUCGCUCCUACCGAUUUCGAGUGGUUCGGUGAACCUUUCGGACCGGCAAUGCCUCGUGUUGCGCCGGAAAGUCAAGUAAACCAUAUCACUUAGAGGAAGGAGAAGUCGUAACA